GACGAACGCUGGCGGCGUGCCUAACACAUGCAAGUCGAACGGAGUCGGCCCCGCAAGGGACUGACUUAGUGGCGAACGGGUGAGUAACGCGUGAGCAACCUGCCUUUCAGUGGGGGACAACAGUUGGAAACGACUGCUAAUACCGCAUAAUGCAUUUUGACCGCAUGAUCGAGAUGCCAAAGAUUUAUUGCUGAAAGAUGGGCUCGCGUCUGAUUAGAUAGUUGGUGAGGUAACGGCCCACCAAGUCGACGAUCAGUAGCCGGACUGAGAGGUUGAACGGCCACAUUGGGACUGAGAUACGGCCCAGACUCCUACGGGAGGCGGCAGGGGGGAAUAUUGGGCAAUGGGGGAAACCCUGACCCAGCAACGCCGCGUGAAGGAAGAAGGCUUUCGGGUUGUAAACUUCUUUUACCAGGGACGAAGAAAGUGACGGUACCUGGAGAAAAAGCCACGGCUAACUACGUG
RNAcentral lists this ribosomal RNA (465 nucleotides) under uncultured bacterium. Its description in RNAcentral is "partial 16S ribosomal RNA". It matches the Rfam family "Bacterial small subunit ribosomal RNA", at positions 28 to 507 of the family's 1533-position model. The record is from RNAcentral.